AAAAAGAUAAGCUAAAUAAGCUAGUGGGUUCAUACCCCGCCAAUAUAAGUUUCAUUCUUGUUCUUUUUA
This 69-nucleotide transfer RNA is filed under the name Platypus contaminatus. Its description in RNAcentral is "tRNA-Met". It matches the Rfam family "tRNA". Rfam says of the family: Transfer RNA (tRNA) molecules are approximately 80 nucleotides in length. Their secondary structure includes four short double-helical elements and three loops (D, anti-codon, and T loops). Lineage: Eukaryota; Metazoa; Arthropoda; Insecta; Coleoptera; Curculionidae. The record is from RNAcentral.